This is a long non-coding RNA of Cyprinus carpio carpio, 1074 nucleotides long. NCBI's taxonomy places the organism in Eukaryota, Metazoa, Chordata, Actinopteri, Cypriniformes, Cyprinidae. The record is from Ensembl.
CACACAGAGAACAAUACAUAAUACUUUAGUAACACUUUUUUAUAAGGUUUCAGUUAUUAAGAUUAACUAACAUGAACAAUAAUUAUAUUGCAUGUCAAUGUCAGUUAAUAGUCAAAACUUAAAAAAAAAAUAUAGCUGCAAGCAGCGAUGGCGGGCUCAAGCCAUCAGCGCAAACGCCACCCCGGUGGCAUCAGGUAAACUGUGCCCAGCGGGCACAUGCAUUUACAGUAACCCUCUGGCACUCAGGUUUUAAGGGAUACGGCAAUUAAAGGGUUAAUCCGAACCAUCAAGACUUUGAAAUCACACACACAGAACAAUAUUCAUUAAGAAAGUGAAAUUAUAUGAUUAAUAAUCUAUUUAUUUGAACCCUUGCUAUUUUCUAUUCUAAUAAAAGCCUUGGCUAUGAAUCAUCUGUAAUACAGUUGGCUAGCUGGAUGCAAAUAAAGUCAUGCCUUUUAUUUUGUCUCCUGUUUGCUAUUUCACAUUCCUGUCAUUGAACCGUUGUGGCCAAAGACACAGAAGGUAACUGAAACAAUGUGGUUUAAGUGUGAUCAUAAGGGGUCAAAGCACAAUGGUUUGUGUAGAUGAUGCAGUUACACAAUGGACGUGUCUCUUUUCAAGUAAAUUAUUAUAUGCACAACAUGAAAAUAGAUAACAAAUAUAGUGUCCCUUCUUCACUUUCUCAGUAAUGCGUGAUAACUUGAGAAAUAUGUUGUCAAUACUAUUAAAAUAAGAUAAAAAAGUAAUGGUAUUUAGGAGAUGAUAGUUUUUGCAUAAUUACUAUAUUGGGCUUUAUUAAAGUUCAUGAAAAAAAUGAAUAUAUAUGCAUUUUUUUAAUGCACAUAAAUGAAACAUUUUCAAGUCUUUGAACAGAUCUUGAAGUAUUUGCUAUCCUGUGGCGCCAUCGUGUGGAAAACAUUAGUAUUGUGGCCUUCAUUUCUGAACAACAUUAUGAAAGGGGCCAAUAUUUUUUGAAUGAUUACAAAUAUUUAAUGAUUCUUGUUAGAGCAAAAUAAUAAUAAUAAUAAUAAUAAUAAUAAUAAUAAUAAUAAUAAUAAUAAUAAUAAAUACAUG